UGAAAGCAUUAAAUAAAAGCCAGGUCCUUGUCCUUUCUUAAAAACAGCCUGUGUGAUGAUAAGCAAAUGCUGACUGAAUAUGAAGGUCUUAAUUAGCUCUAUCUGAUUUCAGGCAUUUUAAAAAUUUGUGGGGCGAAAAUUUGUCUUUGGCUAUAGAAAACCACUCUUUUAUUUCUUAGGUGAACUUGAAUCCUUGACCUGUCAAAAGCAGUUGGCCUUUUUGGUGAGUAUUAAUGGCAAAAACAUUGUUAUAGAGACUGCUGAUGAAGUUGAAUGUUUAACUACCAAGCUAAUCUGCCUGGUUUGUAAUUGCAUGUCGAGCAUGGUAUGAAAAGGAUGGAGAG
This 344-nucleotide long non-coding RNA is filed under the name Bos taurus (domestic cattle). RNAcentral describes it as "long non-coding RNA NONBTAT008026". The stretch from base 48 to 108 matches the Rfam family "Small nucleolar RNA SNORD44". Lineage: Eukaryota; Metazoa; Chordata; Mammalia; Artiodactyla; Bovidae. The record is from RNAcentral.